CCUACGGGGUGCAGCAGUGGGGAAUAUUGGGCAAUGGGCGCAAGCCUGACCCAGCAACGCCGCGUGAAGGAAGAAGGCGUUCGGGUUGUAAACUUCUUUUCUCAGGGACGCAGCAAGUGACGGUACCUGAUGAAUAAGCCACGGGUAACUACGGGCAAGCAGCAGCGGUAAUACGUAGGGGGCAAGCGUUAUGCGGAUUUACUGGGUGUAAAGGGCGUGUAGGCGGGACUGCUACGCAGAUGGGAAAAGCACGGGGUCAAACUGUGGCGUGCCUUUGAAACUGUAUGUCUUGAGUACUGGAGAGGCAGACGGAAUGCCUAGUGUAGCGGUGAAAUGCGUAGAUAUUAGGAAGAACACCGGUGGCGAAGGCGGUCUGCUGGACAGCAACUGACGCUGAGGCGCGAAAGCGUGGGGAGCGAACAGGAUUAGAUACCCCAGUAGUC
This 443-nucleotide ribosomal RNA is filed under the name uncultured bacterium. Its description in RNAcentral is "partial 16S ribosomal RNA". It matches the Rfam family "Bacterial small subunit ribosomal RNA", at positions 338 to 795 of the family's 1533-position model. The record is from RNAcentral.